RNAcentral lists this ribosomal RNA (253 nucleotides) under uncultured bacterium. RNAcentral describes it as "partial 16S ribosomal RNA". It matches the Rfam family "Bacterial small subunit ribosomal RNA", at positions 524 to 776 of the family's 1533-position model. The record is from RNAcentral.
UACGUAGGGUGCAAGCGUUAAUCGGAAUUACUGGGCGUAAAGCGUGCGCAGGUGGUUACCCUAGACAGAUGUGAAAUACCCGAGCUCAACUUGGGACCUGCAUUUGUGACUGUGUGACUAGAGUACGGUAGAGGGGGAUGGAAUUCCGCGUGUAGCAGUGAAAUGCGUAGAUAUGCGGAGGAACACCGAUGGCGAAGGCAAUUCCCUGGACCUAUACUGACACUCAUGCACGAAAGCGUGGGGAGCAAACAGG